RNAcentral lists this long non-coding RNA (256 nucleotides) under Anser brachyrhynchus (Pink-footed goose). RNAcentral's name for it is "lncRNA (ENSABRG00000019730.1)". The record is from RNAcentral. Lineage: Eukaryota; Metazoa; Chordata; Aves; Anseriformes; Anatidae.
AUGACUGACACUGAUCUACAUUUCAGGAGUUACACAUCAAUCACUUUGGGUGCAGAAGAGUCUGAUUCUUCCAUCCAACCCAGGUUACAGUUCAGAUUACAGCCCCCACAAAAUGAUGGAGAACAGGGCCCGAUCCUGGUCGAUCAUGGUACCCUGAAAUGUUGAGUACCCGUGCAGGGCAUGGAAGAGCCAAAUCUACUUUACUAUAAAGAGGUGAAGUGAAGCAGAGAAAUAAAAACUUGCCUCUUACUGUGCA